Molecule: ribosomal RNA, 245 nt
Filed under: uncultured bacterium
Lineage: Bacteria
Description: partial 16S ribosomal RNA
Rfam family: Bacterial small subunit ribosomal RNA
Source: RNAcentral
AAGCGAACACGUGAGUGCAAGCAAAUCUCAAAAAUAACGUCUCAGUUCGGAUUGUAGUCUGCAACUCGACUACAUGAAGCUGGAAUCGCUAGUAAUCGCGAAUCAGAAUAUCGCGGUGAAUACGUUCCCGGGCCUUGUACACACCGCCCGUCAAGCCAUGGGAGCCGGGAGUGCCUGAAGUACGUGACCGCAAGGAGCGUCCUAGGGUAAGACCGGUGACUGGGGCUAAGUCGUAACAAGGUAAC